GAUGAACGCUGGCGGCGUGCCUAAUACAUGCAAGUCGAGCGAACGGACGAGAAGCUUGCUUCUCUGAUGUUAGCGGCGGACGGGUGAGUAACACGUGGAUAACCUACCUAUAAGACUGGGAUAACUUCGGGAAACCGGAGCUAAUACCGGAUAAUAUUUUGAACCGCAUGGUUCAAAAGUGAAAGACGGUCUUGCUGUCACUUAUAGAUGGAUCCGCGCUGCAUUAGCUAGUUGGUAAGGUAACGGCUUACCAAGGCAACGAUGCAUAGCCGACCUGAGAGGGGGGUCGGCCACCUGAGAGGGGGACCGGGCACAGGGCGCCUGCGGGACGGCCCAGACGGGUACGGUCGGCAGUGGGCGGGAGCAUGACAAAACGGCCCGGAGUGAGAUGUAGAGGUGUCGGGUGCGGAAAGCCGUUUUAUGGGGGAUAAACAGAUUUCGACUGAGAUGAACCGUGCGUGACGGUACUUAAUAAAAAAGCACCGGCUAACUACGUG
Molecule: ribosomal RNA, 497 nt
Filed under: uncultured bacterium
Lineage: Bacteria
Description: partial 16S ribosomal RNA
Rfam family: Bacterial small subunit ribosomal RNA
Source: RNAcentral